Molecule: long non-coding RNA, 96 nt
Organism: Fundulus heteroclitus (mummichog)
Lineage: Eukaryota; Metazoa; Chordata; Actinopteri; Cyprinodontiformes; Fundulidae
Exons: 2
Source: RefSeq, a predicted model, not a curated record
CGGCUGUGGAGACAACACACUGGGUUAGAGGGAGGGGACGCCCCGCCAGGUGAGCGUCCCGCCAGGUGAACGCCCCGCCAGGUGAGCGCCCCGCCA